Acanthosepion pharaonis is the source of this 87-nucleotide non-coding RNA. Lineage: Eukaryota; Metazoa; Mollusca; Cephalopoda; Sepiida; Sepiidae. The record is from the annotation of a GenBank genome assembly.
AAACACCAGUUCUCAUUUGAUCACCAAAGUUAAGCACCAUUGAGCCUGGUUAGCACUUUGAUGAGAAACCACUUAGGAACAAUAUGU